This 432-nucleotide ribosomal RNA is filed under the name uncultured bacterium. Its description in RNAcentral is "partial 16S ribosomal RNA". It matches the Rfam family "Bacterial small subunit ribosomal RNA", at positions 29 to 507 of the family's 1533-position model. The record is from RNAcentral.
ACGCACGCUGGCGGCAUGCCUAACCCAUGCAAGUCGCACGAGACCUUCGGGUCUAGUGGCGCACGGGUGCGUAACGCGUGGGAACCUGCCCUUAGGUUCGGAAUAACUCCCCGAAAGGGGUGCUAAUACCGGAUAAUGUCUUCGGACCAAAGAUUUAUCGCCUUUGGAUGGGCCCGCGUUGGAUUAGCUAGUUGGUAGGGUAAAAGCCUACCAAGGCGACGAUCCAUAGCUGGUCUGAGAGGAUGAUCAGCCACACUGGGACUGAGACACGGCCCAGACUCCUACGGGAGGCAGCAGUGGGGAAUAUUGGACAAUGGGCGAAAGCCUGAUCCAGCAAUGCCGCGUGAGUGAUGAAGGCCUUAGGGUUGUAAAGCUCUUUUACCCGGGAUGAUAAUGACAGUACCGGGAGAAUAAGCUCCGGCUAACUCCGUG